AGCCCUAAGCGGGUGGUAAACUCCAUCUAAGGCUAAAUAUGACCACGAGACCGAUAGCGAACAAGUACCGUGAGGGAAAGUUGAAAAGCACUUUGAAGAGAGAGUUCAACAGUACGUGAAACCGUUUAGGGGUAAACCUGAGAAACCCGAAAGGUCGAAGGGAGAAAUUCAUCGCGUUUCGACGUCGGCGUCGGACGGUCGAGCGACGGGGAACGUUCGCGCGUUUUCCGCGCCUUCCGCUCGUCGAACCGGCGACGAACGCGUGCACUUUUCUUCCGGUAGGACGUCGCGAUCCGUCGGGCGUCGGUCUACGGCUCGCGGUGGAGCCCGUUCGUACCGUAGUAAAAUACGUGCGGAUGGACCCGCGUGUCCCGGCCGACCCGCUCGACGGUAGACGAAAAGGUUUAAGGCCGCUCUCUCUCUCGGAGGAGCGUCCGACUCGUGGCAAGCGCGCCAGAUGCGUCGGCGAUCGGACCCCGUGCCGGUUCUGACCUCUGGUGACUGUUGGCUACGAAGUUCUCGGACAGACCUCGGACCGAUCUGCGACGCUAUAGCUUUGGGUACUUUCAG
RNAcentral lists this ribosomal RNA (570 nucleotides) under Typoderus sp. CNCCOLVG00002134. RNAcentral describes it as "eukaryotic LSU rRNA". It matches the Rfam family "Eukaryotic large subunit ribosomal RNA", at positions 284 to 645 of the family's 3401-position model. Lineage: Eukaryota; Metazoa; Arthropoda; Insecta; Coleoptera; Curculionidae. The record is from RNAcentral. RNAcentral also lists the same sequence under 2 other names.